UGCAUUCACUACUGUAAGUCGCUCUGGAUAAGAGCGUCUGCUAAAUGUAAUGUA
This is a non-coding RNA of Salmo salar (Atlantic salmon), 54 nucleotides long. The record is from Rfam. NCBI's taxonomy places the organism in Eukaryota, Metazoa, Chordata, Actinopteri, Salmoniformes, Salmonidae.